This 3169-nucleotide unclassified non-coding RNA is filed under the name Caenorhabditis elegans. RNAcentral's name for it is "Non-coding transcript of protein-coding gene mgl-3". The record is from RNAcentral. Lineage: Eukaryota; Metazoa; Nematoda; Chromadorea; Rhabditida; Rhabditidae.
AUGACAUGCGUGUCGUUUCACACACCUCCGCUUCUACGGCGAUAUUCUUCAAUUCUUCAAAAUCUUUUUUUCUUCUUCCUAUUGCAUAUUCCAAUCAGUUCGACAGUAAAACAACUUACUGUACCCGGACAAAUAGUUCUAGGAGGAUUAUUUCCAAUUCAUGAAGCCGGAAGAAAUGCAUCACAUCAAUGUGGAAAGAUUAAAGCAGAUCAAGGAGUUCAGAGAAUGGUGGCAAUGUUAUUUGCAUUGGAAAAGGUUAAUCGAGAUAGACAACUACUUCCACAAGCAAGUUUAGGAGCACAGAUUUUGGAUACAUGCUCAGUUGACAGUUAUGCAUUGGAACAAACUCUUGAAUUCAUAAAAUCAGUCAUGUCAAAUGGAGAUGGAGUAACAUGUGCAGAUGGUUCAACUGGUUCAUAUACUAGACAGCCAGUUGUUGCAGUUGUUGGAGCUGCUGGAAGUCAAGUCAGUGUUAUGGUUGCUUCGAUGUUACAAUUGUUCAAGAUUCCUCAAGUCAGCUACAGUUCAACAGGAGCCGAAUUAAGUGAGAAGCCCCGAUUCGCUUUUUUCUCAAGAGUUGUUCCACCAGACAACCUGCAAGCUCAAGUCAUGGCUAGAGUUAUUGGAGCACUGGAAUGGACAUAUGUACAUGCAAUUGCUGAUACGGGAUCCUAUGGUGAAAGAGGAAUGGAUUCAUUUCGAGCAGCUGCAGCUGAAAAUGGAAUUUGUAUUGAUGGAGAUGUACAGAAGAUUUCGAGAAGAUGGACUGAGAAAAAUUUCAGAGAUCUCCUAAUCCGAAUGCAUCGAACACGGAAGGCUCGUGGAGUGGUGAUGUUUGUCGAUGAAGAUAAUUUAAAACGACUUCUCAAGACGUUGGAUCUUCUUGUAGCUGAAGGACAUACCGAAUUGGAUAGACAUUUUUGGUUUGUUGCAUCCGACUCAUGGGGUAUCAAACAAUCAGUUGUCCGUGGAUUGGAGCAUCGAACAUACGGAGCAAUCACAAUUGCUCCAAUGGUACGAGAAGAAACUGGAUAUUUGGAAUAUUUUCGAUCACUUUCCCCAAAAGGAUUUGUUUUCUUGGAAGAGUUUUUCGAGUAUCUCGGAUGUUCGGCCACUGUAGAUGUCAAGACUUUUGGAGAUUGUUUUGAUAUGGUUAAUAUUACUUUGAAACAGGAAUCCUAUGUUCCAUUUGUGGUUGACACUGUAAAAAUAAUUGCAAAAGCAAUUUCAAUGUACAUUGAAGAUGAUUGUGGGAAGAUUCCAUUUCAUAAGUGUACAUUGGCUCAAUCAGGGUUCAGAGGAGAACGUCUUCAAAGAUAUUAUAGGAAUAUGUCUCUCAUCAAAAACGAGCCAGCCUUAAUCGAUGCGAAUGGUGACGGAAUCGGACGAUAUGAUGUCUUCCAAUUGGAUAUAAAUGGAGUAUAUCAAAAAGUUGGAAAAUGGAGAUCUACAGAUGAUUUCUUGUCUGUUGAAGUCGAGAAAAUCCGUCACGCAUUCAAAACAGCUCACGGAGAACGGCCGAUGAGCGUGUGCUCCACGGAUUGUCCACGUGGACAUUACAGAGCAUAUCAGGAUCAGACGUGUUGUUGGGCAUGUAUUCCAUGUGAUACUUCUACAAGUAUUCAUAAUGAAACAAGAAAAGUUAUUUGUUGGACUAUUAUAAAUGCGUCAUCAGACUUCAGAUUGUUUGACCAGCGGUAUUGAAUAACACAAUGAAACAGUAAAAAAGUUGUGAAAAUUUUACAUAUAUUUUUUCGACAUUGAAAUAAAUGUUGCGUGUUGCAGCUGUGAAGAGUGUGCUGUUGGAAUGGUUCCAGAUCGAACUCUUCAUUUUUGCGUGCCAAUUCCUCCGGUUUCAAUGCAAUGGGACACAACAUGGUCUCUAAUCCCAGCUGCAUUCUCAACACUUGGAAUCGCAUCGACCAUAUUUGUUGUCUCGGUUUUCUUAAAAUUUUCCAAUACUCCUGUGAUAAUGGCAUCUGGAAGAGAGCUAUGUUAUUGUAUGAUGUCUGGAAUUGGAAUGUGCUACACUUUGACAUUUUUCUUGGUUUCUCAGCCGACUGUUAUCACAUGCUCAAUGACUCGGAUUCUAAUGGGUCUAUCAAUGUCAGCCAUUUAUGCAGCAAUCAUCACAAAAACUAAUCGACUUGCACGAGUAUUCAAACCAGAUUCUGCACAAAGACCGAGGUUUAUCACUCCAAAAGCUCAGGUUGGAAUUUGCAUGGGAAUAGUAUCUGUUCAACUGAUCGGAACAUUUGUCUGGAUACUAUUCGAUCCACCUGGCACAAUGAUUGUAUUUCCAACAAGAACUGAAGCAGUAUUAACUUGUAAAGCAACAACUUCUCAUCUCCUUAUAUCUCUGCUCUACAACAUUUUGCUAAUUGUCGCCUGCACUGUGUAUGCCUUCAAAACACGGAAAAUACCGGAAAAUUUCAAUGAAACACGACAUAUUGGAUUUACAAUGUAUUCCACGUGUAUUCUUUGGCUUGCAUUCGGUCCGAUUUAUUUUGCGACACAGAGUGAUUUCAGGAUUCAAAUAACAUCAUUGUGCAUGUGCAUAUCACUUUCUGGAACAGUUGCACUUAUUUGCUUUUUUGCUCCAAAGGUCUACAUAGUUCUCUUCCAACCAUACAAAAAUGUGAGGACCCGUCAAUCAGCUGUUGGACGACUCGUAAAUCAACAAAUGAGGUUUAUGAGCCAAUUGACCUACAACCCCGAUGGAUGCAACUCAUAUCAACCGAUGUCUUCCAACCAAUCCUAUAAACCUAGUACAGAGGAGAGUUCUCACACGAGCAACGCUCAGGUACAACAGCCAACUCGAGCGAUCCCUCCGCAUGUAAUUGAACAAUUGGCAGCGAGUCUACCGAUUAGUGAUAAAAAUGAUUUGGUGAAAAAGUUGUCACUCCAAGACAAAUUCUUCAACAAUAACAAUAAUAACGAGAACAGUGAAGAGAUUCGUCGUCGUCGUCCGAGCAGUGUUCAUACAGUCGGAGCAGUUACAAAUGGCUCAUCAGUUGCUCAUAUUCCACCAAGAAGCUACACAGAUGAACCAAAAUCAUCAAUGAUUCGGCAGGACACUGCAAAGAGUAGAACAAGUCUUGCAGAAUCUCAUCAAGUUGACCUUAUUCUGGAAGAAAUUGCAGCCGACACUAAUUCCACUUUUCUUUGA